RNAcentral lists this ribosomal RNA (492 nucleotides) under Cephalophus dorsalis (bay duiker). RNAcentral's name for it is "partial 16S large subunit ribosomal RNA". It matches the Rfam family "Bacterial large subunit ribosomal RNA", at positions 1853 to 2569 of the family's 2925-position model. The record is from RNAcentral. Lineage: Eukaryota; Metazoa; Chordata; Mammalia; Artiodactyla; Bovidae.
CACUGCCUGCCCAGUGACAAACGUUAAACGGCCGCGGUAUCCUGACCGUGCAAAGGUAGCAUAAUCAUUUGUUCUCUAAAUAAGGACUUGUAUGAAUGGCCACACGAGGGUUUUACUGUCUCUUACUUCCAAUCAGUGAAAUUGACCUUCCCGUGAAGAGGCGGGAAUAAACAAAUAAGACGAGAAGACCCUAUGGAGCUUUAACUAAUUAGUCCAAAGAAAACAAGCUUAACCAUCAAGGGAUAACAACACCCUCCGUGGACUAACAGCUUUGGUUGGGGUGACCUCGGAGAAUAAAAAAUCCUCCGAGCGAUUUUAAAGACUAGACCCACAAGUCAAAUCAAACUAUCGCUUAUUGAUCCAAAAAUUUGAUCAACGGAACAAGUUACCCUAGGGAUAACAGCGCAAUCCUAUUCAAGAGUCCAUAUCGACAAUAGGGUUUACGACCUCGAUGUUGGAUCAGGACACCCCGAUGGUGCAACCGCUAUCAAA